UCAAGAAACUUCCACAAUGGGCGCAAGCCUGAUCCAGCCAUGCCGCGUGCGGGAAGAAGGCCUUCGGGUUGUAAACCGCUUUUGUCAGGGAAGAAACGCUCUGGGCUAAUACCCUGGGGUAAUGACGGUACCUGAAGAAUAAGCACCGGCUAACUACGUGCCAGCAGCCGCGGUAAUACGUAGGGUGCAAGCGUUAAUCGGAAUUACUGGGCGUAAAGCGUGCGCAGGCGGUUAUGCAAGACAGAUGUGAAAUCCCCGGGCUCAACCUGGGAACUGCAUUUGUGACUGCAAGGCUAGAGUACGGUAGAGGGGGAUGGAAUUCCGCAUGUAGCAGUGAAAUGCGUAGAUAUGCGGAGGAACACCGAUGGCGAAGGCAAUCCCCUGGACCUGUACUGACGCUCAUGCACGAAAGCGUGGGGAGCAAACGGGAUUAGAUACCCCCGUAGUCCCUGAGCGGGCUGGCAAGGCGCAU
This 472-nucleotide ribosomal RNA is filed under the name uncultured bacterium. Its description in RNAcentral is "bacterial SSU rRNA". It matches the Rfam family "Bacterial small subunit ribosomal RNA", at positions 355 to 825 of the family's 1533-position model. The record is from RNAcentral.